CUCGUGACAACAGAGGAAAGAGCAGAUCAUGGCACCAAAUCCUGCCCUGGAGCUGAGCAGGGCUCAAGGAGUGGCCCCGUGUGGAGAAGCAGAUGGAGCUCUGCAAACUAUCAGCAUGCUGGAUUUUAUGGAGCAUUUCUGGAGCUGAGGGACAACUGUCUGGGAAUUUCCAGCGUGCAGGUGGUAAAACACUGACUGCCAUGAACUUCAUCAGGAGAACAAAAAAAAAAAAAAGAGGAAAAAGCUGUGGUUUGGAAGCAGCUGGAUGGCAAACUGCAGGCUAGGAAUGUGGCUGCCCAAACCACCACAAGGAGUGUGGGGCAUGGAGGCAUUUGUGGAGCAUUCUGUUUGCUAAUUGCUCAUGGAA
This is a long non-coding RNA of Melozone crissalis (California towhee), 367 nucleotides long. RefSeq lists it as uncharacterized. The record is from RefSeq and is a predicted model, not a curated record. NCBI's taxonomy places the organism in Eukaryota, Metazoa, Chordata, Aves, Passeriformes, Passerellidae. The transcript is spliced from 3 exons.